RNAcentral lists this ribosomal RNA (1442 nucleotides) under uncultured Ralstonia sp. RNAcentral's name for it is "bacterial SSU rRNA". It matches the Rfam family "Bacterial small subunit ribosomal RNA". Lineage: Bacteria; Pseudomonadati; Pseudomonadota; Betaproteobacteria; Burkholderiales; Burkholderiaceae. The record is from RNAcentral.
GUCGAACGGCAGCAUGAUCUAGCUUGCUAGAUUGAUGGCGAGUGGCGAACGGGUGAGUAAUACAUCGGAACGUGCCCUGUAGUGGGGGAUAACUAGUCGAAAGAUUAGCUAAUACCGCAUACGACCUGAGGGUGAAAGUGGGGGACCGCAAGGCCUCAUGCUAUAGGAGCGGCCGAUGUCUGAUUAGCUAGUUGGUGAGGUAAAGGCUCACCAAGGCGACGAUCAGUAGCUGGUCUGAGAGGACGAUCAGCCACACUGGGACUGAGACACGGCCCAGACUCCUACGGGAGGCAGCAGUGGGGAAUUUUGGACAAUGGGGGCAACCCUGAUCCAGCAAUGCCGCGUGUGUGAAGAAGGCCUUCGGGUUGUAAAGCACUUUUGUCCGGAAAGAAAUCGCACUUACUAAUAUUAGGUGUGGAUGACGGUACCGGAAGAAUAAGGACCGGCUAACUACGUGCCGGCAGCCGCGGUAAUACGUAGGGUCCAAGCGUUAAUCGGAAUUACUGGGCGUAAAGCGUGCGCAGGCGGUUGUGCAAGACCGAUGUGAAAUCCCCGGGCUUAACCUGGGAAUUGCAUUGGUGACUGCACGGCUAGAGUGUGUCAGAGGGGGGUAGAAUUCCACGUGUAGCAGUGAAAUGCGUAGAGAUGUGGAGGAAUACCGAUGGCGAAGCAGCCCCCUGGGAUAACACUGACGCUCAUGCACGAAAGCGUGGGNAGCAAACAGGAUUAGAUACCCUGGUAGUCCACGCCCUAAACGAUGUCAACUAGUUGUUGGGGAUUCAUUUCCUUAGUAACGUAGCUAACGCGUGAAGUUGACCGCCUGGGGAGUACGGUCGCAAGAUUAAAACUCAAAGGAAUUGACGGGGACCCGCACAAGCGGUGGAUGAUGUGGAUUAAUUCGAUGCAACGCGAAAAACCUUACCUACCCUUGACAUGCCACUAACGAAGCAGAGAUGCAUUAGGUGCUCGAAAGAGAAAGUGGACACAGGUGCUGCAUGGCUGUCGUCAGCUCGUGUCGUGAGAUGUUGGGUUAAGUCCCGCAACGAGCGCAACCCUUGUCUCUAGUUGCUACGAAAGGGCACUCUAGAGAGACUGCCGGUGACAAACCGGAGGAAGGUGGGGAUGACGUCAAGUCCUCAUGGCCCUUAUGGGUAGGGCUUCACACGUCAUACAAUGGUGCAUACAGAGGGUUGCCAAGCCGCGAGGUGGAGCUAAUCCCAGAAAAUGCAUCGUAGUCCGGAUCGUAGUCUGCAACUCGACUACGUGAAGCUGGAAUCGCUAGUAAUCGCGGAUCAGCAUGCCGCGGUGAAUACGUUCCCGGGUCUUGUACACACCGCCCGUCACACCAUGGGAGUGGGUUUUGCCAGAAGUAGUUAGCCUAACCGCAAGGGGGGCGAUUACCACGGCAGGGUUCAUGACUGGGGUGAAGUCGUAACAAGGUA